RNAcentral lists this ribosomal RNA (362 nucleotides) under uncultured bacterium. Its description in RNAcentral is "bacterial SSU rRNA". It matches the Rfam family "Bacterial small subunit ribosomal RNA", at positions 29 to 418 of the family's 1533-position model. The record is from RNAcentral.
AACGAACGCUGGCGGCAGGCCUAACACAUGCAAGUCGAGCGCCCCGCAAGGGGAGCGGCGCACGGGUGAGUAACGCGUGGGAAUAUGCCCUGGGGCUGGGGAUAACGGCGGGAAACUGCCGCUAAUACCCGGUACGCCAUGAGUGGGAAAGGAGCAAUCCGCCCUGGGAGUAGCCCGCGUUGGAUUAGCUAGUUGGUGUGGUAAGAGCGCACCAAGGCGACGAUCCAUAGCUGGUCUGAGAGGAUGAUCAGCCACACUGGGACUGAGACACGGCCCAGACUCCUACGGGAGGCAGCAGUGGGGAAUAUUGGACAAUGGGGGCAACCCUGAUCCAGCCAUGCCGCGUGUGUGAAGAAGGCCUC